RNAcentral lists this ribosomal RNA (465 nucleotides) under uncultured bacterium. Its description in RNAcentral is "partial 16S ribosomal RNA". It matches the Rfam family "Bacterial small subunit ribosomal RNA", at positions 338 to 795 of the family's 1533-position model. The record is from RNAcentral.
CCUACGGGAGGCAGCAGUGGGGAAUAUUGCGCAAUGGGCGAAAGCCUGACGCAGCGACGCCGCGUGAGGGAUGAAUGUCUUCGGAUCGGAAACCUCUGUCAGCAGGGAAGAACAGUCACUGUGCUAAUCAGCAGUGAAUUGACGGUACCUGCAAAGGAAGCACCGGCUAACUCCGUGCCAGCAGCCGCGGUAAUACGGAGGGUGCGAGCGUUAAUCGGAAUUACUGGGCGUAAAGCGCUCGUAGGCGGUAUGUCAAGUCAAGGGUGAAAUCCCCGCGCUCAACGGGGGAACUGCCUUUGAAACUGGCAAACUGGAGUGUGGGAGAGGAUAGCGGAAUUCCAGGUGUAGGAGUGAAAUCCGUAGAUAUCUGGAGGAACAUCAGUGGCGAAGGCGACUAUCUGGCACAUAACUGACGCUGAGGAGCGAAAGCGUGGGUAGCAAACAGGAUUAGAUACCUUAGUAGUC